This 456-nucleotide ribosomal RNA is filed under the name Streptococcus australis. RNAcentral describes it as "bacterial SSU rRNA". It matches the Rfam family "Bacterial small subunit ribosomal RNA", at positions 28 to 469 of the family's 1533-position model. Lineage: Bacteria; Bacillati; Bacillota; Bacilli; Lactobacillales; Streptococcaceae. The record is from RNAcentral.
GAUGAACGCUGGCGGCGUGCCUAAUACAUGCAAGUAGAACGCUGAAGGAGGAGCUUGCUCUUUCCGGAUGAGUUGCGAACGGGUGAGUAACGCGUAGGUAACCUGCCUGGUAGCGGGGGAUAACUAUUGGAAACGAUAGCUAAUACCGCAUAACAGUAGAUAUUGCAUGAUAUCUGCUUGAAAGGGGCAAUUGCUCCACUACCAGAUGGACCUGCGUUGUAUUAGCUAGUUGGUGAGGUAACGGCUCACCAAGGCGACGAUACAUAGCCGACCUGAGAGGGUGAUCGGCCACACUGGGACUGAGACACGGCCCAGACUCCUACGGGAGGCAGCAGUAGGGAAUCUUCGGCAAUGGACGGAAGUCUGACCGAGCAACGCCGCGUGAGUGAAGAAGGUUUUCGGAUCGUAAAGCUCUGUUGUAAGAGAAGAACGAGUGUGAGAGUGGAAAGUUCACAC